This 433-nucleotide ribosomal RNA is filed under the name uncultured bacterium. RNAcentral's name for it is "partial 16S ribosomal RNA". It matches the Rfam family "Bacterial small subunit ribosomal RNA", at positions 28 to 507 of the family's 1533-position model. The record is from RNAcentral.
GGCGAACGCUGGCGGCAGGCUUAACACAUGCAAGUCGAGCGGGCCCUUCGGGGUCAGCGGCAGACGGGUGAGUAACACGUGGGAACGUACCCUUUGGUUCGGAAUAACGCUGGGAAACUAGCGCUAAUACCGGAUACGCCCUUUUGGGGAAAGGCUUGCUGCCGAAGGAUCGGCCCGCGUCUUAUUAGCUCGUUGGUGGGGUAAUGGCCUACCAAGGCGACGAUCAGUAGCUGGUCUGAGAGGAUGAUCAGCCACACUGGGACUGAGACACGGCCCAGACUCCUACGGGAGGCAGCAGUGGGGAAUAUUGGACAAGGGGCGCAAGCCUGAUCCAGCCAUGCCGCGUGAGUGAUGAAGGCAUUAGGGUUGUAAAGCUCUUUUGUCCGGGACGAUAAUGACGGUACCGGAAGAAUAAGCCCCGGCUAACUUCGUG